RNAcentral lists this ribosomal RNA (301 nucleotides) under uncultured bacterium. Its description in RNAcentral is "partial 16S ribosomal RNA". It matches the Rfam family "Bacterial small subunit ribosomal RNA", at positions 509 to 807 of the family's 1533-position model. The record is from RNAcentral.
CAGUAGCCGCGGGAAUACGAAGGGGGCUAGCGUUGCUCGGAAUGACUGGGCGUAAAGGGCGCGUAGGCGGUUUUGACAGUCAGAUGUGAAAUUCCUGGGCUUAACCUGGGGGCUGCAUUUGAGACGUCAAGACUAGAGUGUGAGAGAGGGUUGUGGAAUUCCCAGUGUAGAGGUGAAAUUCGUAGAUAUUGGGAAGAACACCGGUGGCGAAGGCGGCAACCUGGCUCAUUACUGACGCUGAGGCGCGAAAGCGUGGGGAGCAAACAGGAUUAGAUACCCGGGUAGUCCCUGUCUCUUAUAC